Molecule: long non-coding RNA, 854 nt
Organism: Sinocyclocheilus grahami
Lineage: Eukaryota; Metazoa; Chordata; Actinopteri; Cypriniformes; Cyprinidae
Exons: 5
Source: RefSeq, a predicted model, not a curated record
GCCGAUACUUCGCCUUAACACAGGCCUAUAACUGAACGCAAUGAUCACUGCAACAGAAAUACUAUUUUGUUUUAUUUUUUCAGAAAAUGUCGAUGUUAUCUGAAUAGUCGCUAUUGAAAUAUUACGAAUAUUCAUUCGGCAUCAUUGUUUGUUUACUCGAGUCCUUCCAAAUAACCUUAAACGACGAGUCCCAUCCCCCAAUCCUGCAGCGCGUGUUUCGCUAACAUCUGCCCACAAACAAUCAAAGACAACGCAACAUAGAUUCUGGGGUUGACAUGUUGAAAAUAAGGUGCUGAGCUGAGCUGAUUAGUGCUGAAAUUGGAGAGAUGUGGAGGUGGUGAAUUUGCUCCGCACCCCUCAAUCUGCCUGUCAGAGGGAUGCUGAAAAAUUUCGGUUUGAGAAAGAUAUGAAAGGAAGGAUAUCUUACGUGGCUUUGCUGAUGCGCUUCGGAGGACGCUUCGCUGGAGAUGACAGCCCGUCUUCUUCUCUCCAUGUGCUGUAACAAAAGCAUCCCAUGCAUACGAAGCCUGUCCCUUUAAAGCCUUGCUGCAUCCCUGCAGGUGGCCUGUCGAUUUAACGGAUCCGAAUGACGUCACUGCAUGGCUGGAAAAGCUGAUGUGACAAAUCCAGGAUGCUGAUUUCCGAGCUCAUUAAAUGGACACCUAAUGACCGUUUGUCCUCAGUAAGUGAGAUCGAUGUGAGUCCUCAGUGUGUGCUGAGGAAGUGAAAAUGUUACGCAAUUGGAGAAGACACUGAUGAGUCCGCAGAGGAGGUGCCCCGUUCUUGCUUCGACUUUAUUUAAAUGCUAGUCUAUGCUUGUUUACAAAACCUACACGUGUUUAUGCUGUGGUAAA